CCAAAGUCGUGCUGGAUUUCACAUUUCCUGCCAAGCAUUCACUUGGAUGCGUUUAAUGUGAAGCCGGCAGGACUCGCA
Molecule: microRNA precursor, 78 nt
Organism: Oreochromis aureus
Lineage: Eukaryota; Metazoa; Chordata; Actinopteri; Cichliformes; Cichlidae
Source: Ensembl